AAAAAGCGCUAUACAGGCGUAUGGUGAAUGCCUUGGCGCAAGAUGCUGAUGAAGGACGUGGUAGUCUGCGAUAAGUCUCGGGGAGCUGACAAACAAGCGUUAUAUCCGGGAAUGUCCGAAUGGGGAAACCUGGCUGGAUUCAUCUCCAGUCAUCCUACUCGUAAAUACAUAGCGGUAGGAGAGGCACCCAGGGAACUGAAACCUCUAAGUACCUGGUGGAAAAUAAAAAAGAUCCCCCGCUAUCCCAUAGUGCGACAUCGUACUAUGAGAUAGCGGGGGAAACAUUCCCUUAGUAGUGGCGAGCGAACGGGGAAGAGCUCAAACCUGAUGUGUGUAAGGAUGAUCGGAUCACAGAUUCGCGUUGCGAUNNNNNNNNNNNNNNNNNNNNNNNNNNNNNNNNNNNNNNNNNNNNNNNNNNNNNNNNNNNNNNCGAUAGUGAACAAGUUCCGUGAGGGAAAGGUGAAAAGCACCCCUGUUAGGGGAGUGAAAUAGAUCUGAAACCAUAUGCUUACAAACAGUCAGAGCCCCGCUAGCCUAUAGUUUGUAUCUUUCUUUAAUCAAUUUCCCGGCGAUAAUUUUAUCGUUGUGAAGUAUGAUCUGAGAUAUGCAUUUCUUGUAUGUACUUAAGUGCGUGUCUUCAGAGAUUCCUGGAUACUAUAUUGGUGUGACGGGAAACCUAAUUUAUAGGUUGGUUCAACACAAUUCUCCAUUGAAUACCGGGUAUACAGCGGGUAGAAAAUGGAAAUUAGUGUAUGUUGAAGGCUACGUAUCAAGACUAUCUGCAGAAGAGCGAGAAAAGAAACUGAAGCAGUAUGGAUCUGUGUGGUACGGAGUCAUGAGAAGGAUAAAACGAACUAUAAGUUAGCGGGGUGAUGGCGUGCCUAUUGAAGAAUGAGCCAGCGAGUUAGUAUUUGCAGCAAGGUUAAGUCCGCGAAGCGGACGGAGCCGAAGCGAAAGCGAGUCUGAACAGGGCGAGCCGCUAACCUAUAGAGUGCCUUAGACGAGGGCCUUCUAUAGGUGAGCGGGUUAGUUGCAGUUACUAUACCCGAAACUAGGUGAUCUACGCAUGGACAGGGUGAAGUCCCGCGAAAGCGGGACGGAGGCCCGAACUCGUUAGAGUUACAAAUCUAUGAGAUGAUCCGUGCAUAGUGGUUAUAUGCCAAUCGAACCUAGAGAUAGCUGGUUCUCCCCGAAAUAGCUUUCGGACUAGCCUUGAAGGUUAGCACCGGGGGUAGAGCACUGAUUGGAUCGAGGGGUCGAAAGACUACCUCAUCCAUUCAAACUCCGAAUACCGGUGUAAUUACUUCAGGAGUCAGAACCUGGGAGCUAAGUUCCAGUGUUCUAAAGGGAAACAGCCCAGACCAUCUGUUAAGGUCCCCAAAUGUAUUCUAAGUGGGAAAGGAAGUGAGAGCUCUUACACAGCUAGGAGGUUGGCUCAGAGGCAGCCACCCUUUAAAGAGUGCGUAACAGCUCACUAGUCUAGAGUUCUCGUACCUAAGAUUCAACGGGGCUAAGAAUACUACCGAAACAGUGGAUUUUGAUGAUUCUUCGGAAUUAUUAGAAUGGUAGGGGAGCGUUCCAUACAUGUUUGCUGAAUGCAAACUUUUGCGGUGAAGGUGGCCCGUAAGGAGCUGCUGGAGCGUAUGGAAGUGAGAAUGCUGGCAUGAGUAGCGCAAUUCCAAUGAAAACUUGGGACGCCGGAAAUCUAAGGUUUCCAUGGCAAUGUCAGUCAACCAUGGUUUAGUCGAUCCUAAGCUGAGGCCGAAAGGCGUAAGCGAUGGAUAACAGGUUAAUAUUCCUGUACUACCUUAAUCUAGCGAUGGGGUGACGGAUGGAGGAUAAUGCAAGCCCUGGUAGGUCAGGGUGCAAGUAGUAAGCUAGUACUUCUAGGCAAAUCCGGAAGUACGUUCCCCGCCAUCCUAUAGCACGAAAACUCGUACUAUGGGACGGCGGGGUGAACGUGAGCUAUGAUGCAAAGUUGAACCUUCGGGGGAUACGAUUUGUAGGACUUCUGUUCCCGGAAAACCCUCUAAGUGUUGUACUUGGCUGAUUUAUCAGCUGGGUACUUUAACGAUUAAGGUAUUCGUACCGCAAACCGACACUGGUGGAUUGGUAGAAUAUACCAAGGCGUUCGGGUGAGCCCGUGCUAAGGAAUUCGGCAAAAUUACUCUGUAACUUAGGGAUAAAGAGGGCCAUACAACGGUUAUUUUUAAUAGUCGUUGAUUAUGGCCGCAGAGAAAUCGGCAAGAGCGACUAGUUAACUAAACUACAGGUGCCUGCUAACUCGUAAGAGGAUGUAUAGGUGCUGAUACCUGCCCAAUGCCAGAAGGUUAAGGAAGCUGGUUAACCCGCAGUCUUCGGACUUGCGGGUGAAGCCGGCGACUGAAGCCCUGGUGAAUGGCGGCUGUAACUAUAACGGUCCUAAGGUAGCGAAGUCCCUCGUCACUUAAUUAGUGACCUGCACGAAUGGUGUAACGACUCUUGUACUGUCUUAGCAUGGAGCCCGGCGAAAAUGAAAUGGCUGUGAAGAUGCGGCCUACCCGUACCUGGACAAAAAGACCCCGUGGAGCUUUACUGCACCUUCAUGUUGGAACAUAUUGUUGAUUGUAGAGUAUAGGAGGGAGACUUUGAAACUUCGGCGCCAGCUGAAGUGGAGUCGACCGUGGAAUACCCCCCUUUUGACUUUGUGUUUCUAAUCUGCAUCCGUUAUCCGGAGCAGAGACAGCGUGUGGGAGGCAGUUUGACUGGGGCGGUUGCUUGCAAAAGAGUAACGCAAGCGCACAAAGGUCUCCUCAAUCCGGAUGGAAAUCGGAUGAAGAGUGCAUUGGCAUAAGGAGGCUUUACUGUCAGACAGACAUGUCGAGCAGUAGCGAAAGCUGGUCAAAGUGACCCUAUGGUUGAUCAUGGGAUCGCCAUUGUUUAACGAAGAUAAGCUACCCC
This is a non-coding RNA of Chloroflexi bacterium RBG_13_46_9, 2940 nucleotides long. NCBI's taxonomy places the organism in Bacteria, Bacillati, Chloroflexota. The record is from Rfam.